CGCAAGCCUGAUGCAGCGACGCCGCGUGAGGGAUGACGGCCUUCGGGUUGUAAACCUCUUUCACCAGGGACGAAGCGCAAGUGACGGUACCUGGAGAAGAAGCACCGGCCAACUACGUGCCAGCAGCCGCGGUAAUACGUAGGGUGCGAGCGUUGUCCGGAAUUACUGGGCGUAAAGAGCUCGUAGGCGGUUUGUCGCGUCGUCUGUGAAAUUCUGCAGCUUAACUGCAGGCGUGCAGGCGAUACGGGCAGACUUGAGUACUACAGGGGAGACUGGAAUUCCUGGUGUAGCGGUGAAAUGCGCAGAUAUCAGGAGGAACACCGGUGGCGAAGGCGGGUCUCUGGGUAGUAACUGACGCUGAGGAGCGAAAGCGUGGGUAGCGAACAGGAUUAGAUACCCUGGUAGUCCACGCCGUAAACGGUGGGUACUAGGUGUGGGGCUCAUUUCACGAGUUCCGUGCCGUAGCUAACGCAU
This 474-nucleotide ribosomal RNA is filed under the name Gordonia sp. EBKC117. RNAcentral's name for it is "bacterial SSU rRNA". It matches the Rfam family "Bacterial small subunit ribosomal RNA", at positions 376 to 860 of the family's 1533-position model. The record is from RNAcentral. Lineage: Bacteria; Bacillati; Actinomycetota; Actinomycetes; Mycobacteriales; Gordoniaceae.